Molecule: long non-coding RNA, 857 nt
Organism: Cyanistes caeruleus (blue tit)
Lineage: Eukaryota; Metazoa; Chordata; Aves; Passeriformes; Paridae
Source: RefSeq, a predicted model, not a curated record
AUCUUCUUAAUGCAUGGAAAUAACAGAAACAAACAAAAAGGCAGAUUAAAGCAAGCUGGCCCCUGGAAAACUAAACUUGCCUAAGAAUAUAAGACACAUAUAACCCGAACAUCAAAUGACAGAAAUGCAUUUUAGCAGUGGACCAUGUCUCAUUAAGGAAAAACUUCAUGUUUAGUCCGACAAUGAAAUAUCAGCCAGUCUCAAGUCCUGCACAAUGACUGCUGCAUACAGAACCCAUGGAUUUUUCAGCAAUACAAAGGUCUAUGAAGAUACUCAGUGAGGUGCACCUCAAAAAUGUCGUAACUGAAGACUGGCAAGACUCAUGGUCUCUUUCCGGAAAUACAAUAAUCCUAUGAACUAAGCACAGGGAAAAUACCCUCCAUUAACUCAGGGAUACAUGUCUCAUAUUCAUUACUCUUUCCUUACUUACGAGUGAAGUCAGCUGGUUCACAGUGCCUAUGCUCAUUGACAAAGAUGCAAACCAGAUGUGAAUAUAUCCACUACAUGUGUUACAAAACUCUGUACUGACUGCAAUUCAAAUUGGGUUACCAGUACUCUGAAUUAUCUGAGUAAUACAGAAAGAAUGGCUUUAGGUACAUAUCAAAAGUUACUGAUUGCCUCCCUAGCUGCUUCUUCACCUCCUGAGUACUAUAAUACUACCAUCCUCUGAUGCAGAGUCAGCAGGAUAGCUCAGAAAAUGAUCAGGACAGAAACAAUGUAGUUUCUCCAGAUGGGCAACUCCUUAGUUUUGAAGAAAAUAAAAAAAUAAAUAAUAUAAGGCAACAUAAUUUUUUUCUAUAAAACUGCUACAUGGCAAUUACAAGAGUGCAAAGGUGCAGGCAGGCUCAACAAUCUUG